CGAAACUCAGCAUUUAAUUUAAGAGGGGAAUGAUCUCAGUGAACAGCAUGUGAUUCAUCGAAAAUAAUCAACUUGUUAGAGGUCAAAUUACACUAUACAUUAAGAAUAACCCCUCAUCUCCAUAUAUCAUAUAGUUGGAGCUCUGGAAAAAACAAUCUCCCACCCAAUUCUCAAACAUCUCUAUGCUUCUUCUCUGUACUUCCUUCCACCAACAUAACUCUACACCUCCGCUUGGGUAAUGAUCGGGAAUAACAACCAUAAAACCAAAGCAAGAACAAGCCCCCCAGCCCAUGAAUCUGCUAGCUUACAUUCUUUAGCUAUAUUACACACUGAUACAAAUCAAGACAUUGGAUGUUCGGCAUUCAUCCAAGCAGCAGAAGCCAUGAAAGGAGGAGAACAAUUACGCUUCAGUUAUCACACAUCUGCAUCUAUGCCUGGGGGAGACUGUGGGGGGACAGCUUCGACAUGAAAUUCAAAGAGGGAACCACUUCCCGCUAAGACUCUCCUCGCAGCUUGAGAAUGUUGAUUUCUACCAAUCUUUCUGGAAGGAAGUGACUCCGAGGCAGCAGCCUUUGAUGAACUGUUGCUUUCAAAGGAUGCUAAGAAUUUGUCCUUCGAUAGAGAUUCUUGAGCAGAUAAAACAAUAGAACUAAAAACACCACUCUCCCUCAAACCUUGGACAAUAACCAUGGGAGCAUAAAUACGGGUUAAAAUGCCUUUCCUCAACAGUUUCAGGUUCAUCGCUUUGUCAGUCCAUACGACAUGUUCACGGUACCAGCUUAACAUCUCAUCCUCUGUAGCAGUUGAAGCAAUAAUAAAUGCAGAUCUAUCAAAUUCCAACAUGAAGCAUCUCUUCACAUCCUCCUUUGUGGGCUUGCAACCACAUCUAUCUCGUCUUGAAGUCAAGUCAGAAAACUUGGAAUAUGUGUAAUGCAG
Molecule: unclassified non-coding RNA, 936 nt
Filed under: Hevea brasiliensis (rubber tree)
Lineage: Eukaryota; Viridiplantae; Streptophyta; Magnoliopsida; Malpighiales; Euphorbiaceae
Source: RNAcentral